GAUGAAGAACGUAGCGAAAUGCGAUAAGUAAUGUGAAUUGCAGAAUUCAGUGAAUCAUCGAAUCUUUGAACGCACCUUGCGCCCUUUGGCCAUUCCGAAGGGCAUGCCUGUUUGAGUAUCAUGAACACCUCAACUCUUCAUGGUUUUCCGUGAUGAGCUUGGACUUUGGGGGUCUUGCUGGCCUAUGGUCAGCUCCUCUAAAAUAAAUCAGCUUGCCAGUGUUUGGUGGGUAUCACAGGUGUGAUAACUAUCUACGCUUGUGGUUUUCCACCAGGUAACCUUCAGCAGUGGAGGUUCGCUGGAGCUCACAGAUGUGUCUCUCCUCAGUGAGGACAGCUCUUUGAAUGUUUGAUCUCAAAUCAGGUAGGACUACCCGCUGAACUUAAGCAUAUCAAUGAGCGGAGGA
RNAcentral lists this unclassified non-coding RNA (406 nucleotides) under soil metagenome. RNAcentral's name for it is "partial contains 5.8S ribosomal RNA, internal transcribed spacer 2, and large subunit ribosomal RNA". The stretch from base 1 to 121 matches the Rfam family "5.8S ribosomal RNA", at positions 35 to 154 of the family's 154-position model. The record is from RNAcentral.